This 508-nucleotide ribosomal RNA is filed under the name uncultured bacterium. Its description in RNAcentral is "partial 16S ribosomal RNA". It matches the Rfam family "Bacterial small subunit ribosomal RNA", at positions 899 to 1397 of the family's 1533-position model. The record is from RNAcentral.
ACUCAAAUGAAUUGACGGGGGCCUGCACAAGCGGUGGAGUAUGUGGCUCAAUUCGAUGCAACGCGAAGAACCUUACCUGGCCUUGACAUGUACGUAGUAGAAGGGUGAAAGCCUGACGAGGUAGCAAUACCAGCGUACACAGGUGCUGCAUGGCUGUCGUCAGCUCGUGUCGUGAGAUGUUGGGUUAAGUCCCGCAACGAGCGCAACCCUUGUGUCCUGUUGCCACUCCCGAGUAAUCGGGAAGCACUCUGGACAGACUGCCUCGCUUAAACGAGGAGGAAGGUGGGGAUGACGUCAAGUCAGUAUGGCCCUUACGGCCAGGGCUGCACACGUACUACAAUGCCCGGCACAAAGGGAAGCAAGACCGCAAGGUGGAGCAAAUCCCCAAAAACCGGGCCCAGUUCAGAUUGUCGUCUGCAACUCGACGACAUGAAGUUGGAAUCGCUAGUAAUGGCGCAUCAGCUACGGCGCCGUGAAUACGUUCCCAGGCCUUGUACACACCGCCCGU